This 735-nucleotide ribosomal RNA is filed under the name uncultured bacterium. RNAcentral's name for it is "bacterial SSU rRNA". It matches the Rfam family "Bacterial small subunit ribosomal RNA", at positions 788 to 1529 of the family's 1533-position model. The record is from RNAcentral.
UAGUAGUCCACGCUGUAAACGAUGGAUACUAAGUGUUGGGGAAACUCAGUGCUGCAGUUAACGCAAUAAGUAUCCCGCCUGGGGAGUAUGCACGCAAGUGUGAAACUCAAAGGAAUUGACGGGGGCCCGCACAAGCGGUGGAGUAUGUGGUUUAAUUCGACGCAACGCGAAAAACCUUACCAGGCCUUGACAUCCCUUGCGAAGCUUUAGAGAUAGAGUGGAGGAUAUCAAGGAGACAGGUGGUGCAUGGUUGUCGUCAGCUCGUGUCGUGAGAUGUUGGGUUAAGUCCCGCAACGAGCGCAACCCUUGUCUUUAGUUACCAUCAAGUAAAGUUGGGGACUCUAAAGAGACUGCCGGUGAUAAACCGGAGGAAGGUGGGGAUGACGUCAAAUCAUCAUGCCCCUUAUGGCCUGGGCUACACACGUACUACAAUGGCGCAUACAGACGGAAGCGAAGGAGCGAUCUGAAGCAAAACCGAGAAAGUGCGUCACAGUUCGGAUUGAAGUCUGCAACUCGACUUCAUGAAGCCGGAAUCGCUAGUAAUCGCAGAUCAGCAUGCUGCGGUGAAUACGUUCUCGGGCCUUGUACACACCGCCCGUCAAACCAUGAGAGUUGGCAAUACCCGAAGCCGGUGGCCUAACCUAGCAAUAGGAGGGAGCCGUCGAAGGUAGGGCUGAUGAUUGGGGUUAAGUCGUAACAAGGUAUCCCUACGAGAACGUGCGGUUGGAUCACCUC